Mesoplodon densirostris (Blainville's beaked whale) is the source of this 449-nucleotide long non-coding RNA. RefSeq lists it as uncharacterized. NCBI's taxonomy places the organism in Eukaryota, Metazoa, Chordata, Mammalia, Artiodactyla, Ziphiidae. The transcript is spliced from 5 exons. The record is from RefSeq and is a predicted model, not a curated record.
GCAGGAGACACGUGAGUCCGCGGGGGAGGAGGGGGUCUUCAGUCUCUGGACGAGACCUGCGUCACACAUCUCCCCACAACGCACAGGCUGCUCUGGCUCUCUCUCCUCCUGUAGGUGACCCCAGCUUGGCGUGGAAGGGUCUGGAUCCAAGCCAAAGGGCUGUUUCUUGGUCCUGUGUGGAGGCGGCGUUCCUAGUCGUGCUUCAAGACUCAGUGUCACUGGCUGCUUCCCCACCCCUCCGGGCAGAGUGAGAUGUUCUCCCUGGAUCCCCACAGGAUUUUGUACGUCCCUGUUUUCACAAGCCCUGUGCUGGGUGUCCAGGACAGAUGUGAACCCCAGCCGGUCCCUGCAGCACGAGGAUAGGAAUGUGCUCAAGAGACGUUUCUGACUGCGACUCCAGUUACAAGAGACUUACAUUUUUAGCUCAUUCAUUUAUUGUUUUUCUGUGC